CCUACGGGUGGGCAGCAGUGGGGAAUAUUGGACAAUGGGCGAAAGCCUGAUCCAGCCAUGCCGCGUGUGUGAAGAAGGCCUUCGGGUUGUAAAGCACUUUCAGUGGGGAAGAAAGCCUUGGGGCUAAUACCCUCGAGGAAGGACAUCACCCACAGAAGAAGCACCGGCUAACUCCGUGCCAGCAGCCGCGGUAAUACGGAGGGUGCGAGCGUUAAUCGGAAUUACUGGGCGUAAAGCGCGCGUAGGCGGUCUGAUAAGCCGGUUGUGAAAGCCCCGGGCUCAACCUGGGAACGGCAUCCGGAACUGUCAGGCUAGAGUGCAGGAGAGGAAGGUAGAAUUCCCGGUGUAGCGGUGAAAUGCGUAGAGAUCGGGAGGAAUACCAGUGGCGAAGGCGGCCUUCUGGACUGACACUGACGCUGAGGUGCGAAAGCGUGGGUAGCAAACAGGAUUAGAUACCCUAGUAGUC
This 466-nucleotide ribosomal RNA is filed under the name Vreelandella stevensii. RNAcentral describes it as "partial 16S ribosomal RNA". It matches the Rfam family "Bacterial small subunit ribosomal RNA", at positions 338 to 795 of the family's 1533-position model. Lineage: Bacteria; Pseudomonadati; Pseudomonadota; Gammaproteobacteria; Oceanospirillales; Halomonadaceae. The record is from RNAcentral.